This 70-nucleotide transfer RNA is filed under the name Sphenostylis stenocarpa. RNAcentral's name for it is "tRNA gene-AYBTSS11_LOCUS10622". It matches the Rfam family "tRNA". Rfam says of the family: Transfer RNA (tRNA) molecules are approximately 80 nucleotides in length. The record is from RNAcentral. Lineage: Eukaryota; Viridiplantae; Streptophyta; Magnoliopsida; Fabales; Fabaceae.
GCAUCGGUAGUCCAACGGUUAGGAUAAUUGCCUUCCAAGCAGUAGACCUGUUCGACUCCCGGCUGAUGCA